This 397-nucleotide ribosomal RNA is filed under the name uncultured Methanosaeta sp. RNAcentral's name for it is "bacterial SSU rRNA". It matches the Rfam family "Archaeal small subunit ribosomal RNA", at positions 943 to 1338 of the family's 1478-position model. The record is from RNAcentral. Lineage: Archaea; Methanobacteriati; Methanobacteriota; Methanomicrobia; Methanotrichales; Methanotrichaceae.
CAAUAUGAAGGUCAGGCUGAAGACCUUACCCGAUUAGCUGAGAGGUGGUGCAUGGCCGUCGUCAGUUCGUACUGUGAAGCAUCCUGUUAAGUCAGGCAACGAGCGAGACCCACGUCCACAGUUGCCAGCAUACCCUCCGGGGUGAUGGGUACACUGUGGAGACCGCCGCUGCUAAAGCGGAGGAAGGAGUGGGCAACGGUAGGUCAGUAUGCCCCGAAUCUCCCGGGCUACACGCGGGCUACAAUGGUUGGUACAAUGGGCAUCUACCCCGAAAGGGGAAGGAAAUCUCUUAAAGCCAAUCGUAGUUCGGAUUGAGGGCUGCAACUCGCCCUCAUGAAGCUGGAAUCCGUAGUAAUCGCCGUUUCAACAGAACGCGGUGAAUACGUCCCUGCUCCUU